This 407-nucleotide ribosomal RNA is filed under the name uncultured bacterium. Its description in RNAcentral is "bacterial SSU rRNA". It matches the Rfam family "Bacterial small subunit ribosomal RNA", at positions 355 to 776 of the family's 1533-position model. The record is from RNAcentral.
CAGGGAAUCUUGCGCAAUGGGCGAAUAGGCCUGACGCAGCGAUACCGCGUGGGGGAAGAAGGCCUUCGGGUCGUAAACCCCUUUUCUUGGGGAAGAGAGAGGACGGUACCCGAGGAAUAAGCCUCGGCUAACUACGUGCCAGCAGCCGCGGUAAUACGUAGGAGGCGAGCGUUGUCCGAAUUUACUGGGCGUAAAGGGCGAGUAGGCGGCCCGUUAAGUCCUAUGUGAAAUCUCCCGGCUCAACCGGGAGGGGUCAUAGGAAACUGGCAGGCUUGAGGGCAGUAGAGGAAAGUGGAAUUCCCGGAGUAGUGGUGAAAUGCGUAGAUACCGGGAGGAACACCAGAGGCGAAGGCGACUUUCUGGGCUGUCCCUGACGCUGAGGCGCGAAAGCAUGGGGAGCGAACCGG